Molecule: long non-coding RNA, 311 nt
Organism: Leopardus geoffroyi (Geoffroy's cat)
Lineage: Eukaryota; Metazoa; Chordata; Mammalia; Carnivora; Felidae
Exons: 3
Source: RefSeq, a predicted model, not a curated record
AAAGAUGACAUUAGCUGGCAUUUGGACAGUAGUGUGAGGACAAGGUGACAAAAACAAAAUGGUCAACAAGAAGUGUUUCAGGAUGGAACGUUGGGAUAAGAACCAGAGCAAAAACAAUCACAUUUAGAAGAUAAAACCACAGAAUAAUCUGGAAGCACCAUAGUGAAGAACAGGAAAACAAUAGAAUCAGGAUGAUACAAAUUUGGAGUUCCACUGCUGGAGUUCAACUCUCUAAUCUAGCAAUUAUUUCCUGUGUGGACUCAGCCUCUUUUUGCAGGAGCCCAGGCUUUCCUCCUUGUUGACGUCGCCCU